CUGCCAGAAAGAAGCACGCUAACUCCGUGCCAAGCAGCCGCGGUUAAUACGGAAGGGUGGCGAAGCGUUAAUUCGGAAAUACUUGGGCGUAAAGCGCAUCAGGGGUUUGUUAAGUCAGAUGUGAAAGCCCGGGGCUCAACCUCGGAAUUGCAUUUGAAACUGGCCAGACUAGAGUACUGUAGAGGGGGGUAGAAUUUCAGGUGUAGCGGUGAAAUGCGUAGAGAUCUGAAGGAAUACCGGUGGCGAAGGCGGCCCCCUGGACAGAUACUGACAUUCAGAUGCGAAAGCGUGGGGAGCAAACAGGAUUAGAUACCCUGGUAGUCCACGCCGUAAACGAUGUCUACUUGGAGGUUGUGGCCUUGAGCCGUGGCUUUCGGAGCUAACGCGUUAAGUAGACCGCCUGGGGAGUACGGUCGCAAGAUUAAAACUCAAAUGAAUUGACGGGGGCCCGCCCAAGCGGUGGAGCAUGUGGUUUAAUUGGAUGCAACGCGAAGAACCUUACCUACUCUUGACAUCCAGAGAACUUUCCGGAGACGGUUUGGUGCCUUCGGGAAUUUUGAGACAGGUGCUGCAUGGCUGUCGUCAGCUCGUGUUGUGAAAUGUUGGGUUAAGUCCCGCAACGAGCGCAACCCUUAUCCUUGUUUGCCAGCACUUCGGGUGGGAACUCCAGGGAGACUGCCGGUGAUAAACCGGAGGAAGGUGGGGACGACGUCAAGUCAUCAUGGCCCUUACGAGUAGGGCUACACACGUGCUACAAUGGCGCAUACAGAGGGCGGCCAACUUGCGAAAGUGAGCGAAUCCCAAAAAGUGCGUCGUAGUCCGGAUUGGAGUCUGCAACUCGACUCCAUGAAGUCGGAAUCGCUAGUAAUCGUGGAUCAGAAUGCCACGGUGAAUACGUUCCCGGGCCUUGUACACACCGCCCGUCACACCAUGGGAGUGGGCUGCAAAAGAAGUGGGUAG
This 960-nucleotide ribosomal RNA is filed under the name Vibrio brasiliensis. RNAcentral describes it as "bacterial SSU rRNA". It matches the Rfam family "Bacterial small subunit ribosomal RNA", at positions 477 to 1433 of the family's 1533-position model. Lineage: Bacteria; Pseudomonadati; Pseudomonadota; Gammaproteobacteria; Vibrionales; Vibrionaceae. The record is from RNAcentral.